UUUCCCUAUAUCAUGGUUUCCAAUGGUGCAUGGACUGGUGAAACUCCCCGGAUCUUUAAAUUUUGGAGGGAGAGUCUUUUGCAUGAUGGCACUGCAAUUUUCCUGCACUUCAAUUGUUUCCUCAUCUAAAUAUUUUUUCUUCUUGUUGAGGAUUUGCUUCAUGUACUUUGCAUAGGCAGGAAUUUGUUGUAGUGUUUCAGUCAAGGGCAUGGUGAUCUCCAACUGGUUGAAUAUUUGCUUGAACCGAGCCAAUUGUUUCUCAUUUUCUCUAUUGGAAGGAUUUUUGGGGUAAGGAAGAUUUUUCACAAUCUCCUUCUCUUUUUGCUUUUUCUCUUUUUCUUUGCCUUUAUUUUCUUCUUCUUUUCCAACAAU
Molecule: long non-coding RNA, 372 nt
Filed under: Vigna radiata
Lineage: Eukaryota; Viridiplantae; Streptophyta; Magnoliopsida; Fabales; Fabaceae
Description: long non-coding RNA (VRAD_LNC002966)
Source: RNAcentral